Molecule: ribosomal RNA, 433 nt
Filed under: uncultured bacterium
Lineage: Bacteria
Description: partial 16S ribosomal RNA
Rfam family: Bacterial small subunit ribosomal RNA
Source: RNAcentral
AGCGAACGCUGGCGGCAGGCCUAACACAUGCAAGUCGAACGAACUCUUCGGAGUUAGUGGCGGACGGGUGGGUAACACGUGGGAACGUGCCUUUUUGUUCGGAAUAACUCAGGGAAACUUGUGCUAAUACCGAAUGUGCCCUUCGGGGGAAAGAUUUAUCGCCAUUAGAGCGGCCCGCGUCUGAUUAGCUAGUUGGUGAGGUAACGGCUCACCAAGGCGACGAUCAGUAGCUGGUCUGAGAGGAUGACCAGCCACACUGGGACUGAGACACGGCCCAGACUCGUACGGGAGGCAGCAGUGGGGAAUCUUGCGCAAUGGGCGAAAGCCUGACGCAGCCAGGCCGCGUGAAUGAUGAAGGUCUUAGGAUUGUAAAAUUCUUUCACCGGGGACGAUAAUGACGGUACCCGGAGAAGAAGCCCCGGCUAACUUCGUG